UCUCAGAUCUCAAUCCCGGCGAGUGCGGGCAUCACUGAAGACUUGACACCGGCUGAAUCGGACGUCCACUGUCCUCGGCAGAAUUAACCAGGUGUUCUCUCAUGCAAACUUUAUCGCCAUCAGAUGAAGCUGAUCAUCCUGUCGAUGGCAACGAGUCCGCUUCGCCGCAGGGACAGACUUUUUUCCGCGCCCAAACGACCGAAGAGGCGCGGAUCCGAGACAAUAACGCCCAGAAGUUAUUGAAAUGAAUCGAGCUGGCGUGUGAAGAAAAAAACUGAACGAGUGCUAACAGCCUUAGCCUUCGUCGCAGAGGGAAGAAAAGGGGAAGCUGAAGAGCAAAUGAGGAAAAGACGAGCGAUGAAAGAGAGGUCCAGACAUGAAAGACGCAUGCAUUCACAGACACGCAUUCAAAGGCACCUAGAGUCUGUCUGCGAUCUACCACCUCCCUGCCACACACACACACACACGCCUGUUACGGGCAGCAGAUAAAGAGGGAUAUGCCAUUCCAGCUGUGAGGAGACAGAAGAAGUCAACAUACACACUCACACACACACACACACACACACACAGAGCCGCGGGCGCGUGAGCAGGUGAGCAUUAAGUCAGGCAGCUAAACAGAUCACGUCGCGGUAUGAUAUCUGCAGACAGGCAGACAGAGCAGGCCGGUCUGUACCUGCAGGCAGAGAGCAACAACUCACAGCACACUCGCCAGGAAUUUCCUCCCCCUCCUGAGAAGAGAGAGAGAGAGGGAGGGAGGGAGGGAGUGGGAGAGUGAAGGAGAGACAGACAGGCAGACAUAAGCUGGAGUUUCGGCUGAAGUGUUUUACGCAAACCAAAGUAAAAGCCUGAUUACAAACUGGCAGGCAAAUAUUAGAUUUCAGAUACCUUCUAUGUGACAAGUUUUCAUAUUCAACCCAGUUCAUGAUGGGAAGAACUGCUUAUCUUUGUACUUUCUCACCAAGCAAAGGUUUGCUUUUGCGUUCCUAAAAUGAUUGUUAUGGAGUGAUAAUAAUAUUAGGCUACACCAAAGUGAGAUAAACCCAAUAUGCACCCUCCUUUGGUGGCAUUGUUAGCCCAUCAUUCUCCCUUCACCUCAGCUGAUGAAAGGACAUCUCUUUGUCUUUAUUAAAGAAAUGCAGAUUCACACAGCAUUGUAAUAUCGAGAACAGACGGUUCUUUUGUUGUUUUUCAGAGUAAUUCGAUCACCGUCAGUAUGAUUUGUCAUUCUGGAAUGACGAGGGUGUUUCGAAAGUGUCCGCCAUACUAAUGGAUACUAACAGUAUCCGUUACACAAACGUGUUCUGCUGCUAGUAUUGUAUUGUUAGCUCUCCUUGGAGAGGCUUUGACAUUUUUAUUUUUUUAAAGCUUUCAUUCAUUUACAAUCUGCUCAGCAUAUGUGGCCGUUAUCUGUGGUGUCAGGAAUCACAUUCAAAGUAAUUACCUCUUUGGGGGAGGCCUGUUUCAGUUUUGGUUUUCUACUGAGCAGCAUUUCUCUGAAUUACUGUGGGUUAUGCUGUUGCUCAAGAAAACCUUAACUAUAGUUACUGAAUAAGGGAGAGCUAUCAAGGUCAAAUCUCCUGCAUAGAUUUUCCUACUGCUUCCCUUCUCUUCCAUAUACCCUUGAAUUGAAGUAAUUUCACCCAUUAGACAGAUUGUCCACGUUCUGUCAUCACUUAUAUUCUGUAGCUGAGGUUUUUUCUUUUCUUUUACAAAGCUCUUUAUAUUCAGGCAUAGAAACGCCUCCUGAAAUUUGUACAAGUCACAACUCUCCCCACACAAACUACCACAUCCACUUAUCUAAAAAUGAUUCAGUGGUUAAAUGCCAGAGCUGUCUGUGCCAUUAAGGCCAGCCUGUUUGAAGGAAGGACACCCUUGCAUGCCCUCUCCCUCCUCCUUGCUGUCUCUUCGUAUUCCUCUCACUCCUUCUUCUCUCCCUUAGCUGCCCCGCCAUCCCUUCCGUCCCCUCCCUAUCUUCUCCACCUCACACCCACCCAACCCAGGCUGGUUUGAGGGCUGAUGUGCAGACCUUGUCAUUCAAAUUAGGGCCACAUUGUCAGCUCAGGGCCCUUGUCUCUCUAGUUGCGUGUCUGGAUCUUUCUUCCCACUGUCACCCUCGUCCUGCGGCCAGAGAAGACCUUAUAAAGCAACAUUACUUCUCAUCCACUUCUGUCAAUUCCAACUCUGUCACUCAAAUCACUGUUCGCGAGAGUGGAGAGAGGCAGAGUUAGUGGUGUCCCUCGCAGCAAGGACUGUGCUUUUUGGCCCAAGCUUUGGGUGAUGUGUCAACAGCUAGCAAACUGGAUUUUGAUUGAGGUAUUUUCAGUUAGGAUCAUUUUUAGUUUUUUGCUCACAAAUGUCGAGCUUUUCAGAGGACUGACAAAGUAGAAGCAGCUCUCGUGAUCCAAAGGAGAGAAGAGAAGCAGCACACUCAUUGCUGUCAGACAUAUAGUAGCAAUUCAAGUCUUUAGAAAUCUUCAGAUUUAGUACUCAAUGUGUUUUGCUUUAUAGUAAAAGGCAAUCAGAGUCAUUAUGUUAUUUUUAACUCUGUUUUCUAUAUAAAAUGACUGUUUGGCAGGGCAUGAGGUAUCCACCACAUCAUCUUAAUCACUUAAGAAAAGAGUUUGAGAGCCGUAUUUAUCAUCCAACCACAUCUUGACUCACUGCCACAGUUUUAUUGUCAAGUCGUAUCUAAUUGCUACAGCAGCUCUUUGGCAUUUGAUUUUUUCUGCUCACAAACUGCGGUUUUCUUUUUCUCAUCAUGAGCAACAAUGAUUCAGCAGUGUGUAACACAACCUUCGUAGAAGUUGGUGGACAGUUUCCUUACUGGUAUUGGUGCAAGCAGAAGAAAAAACAUCCUAGUCUUCAACCAAAGUGCCACAUCAUAGCGAAAAAAACAGACGUUAUUGAUCUGGAUGAGUCGACAGUUUCAUACCCGAUACUCUUCUUCAUCCUCUACUUUGCACGAAGCCCUCAAGGCAUGUUGGGCCCUCUCUAGAGGCUGUGCCGCUGUGCUUCAAUCCAGGCGACUAGCUGCAACCUCCGCCCAGGUGCUGCGUUAACUAAAAGCCCGCUAUGAGUCAGGAGUUUCAAGAUGACUUCCCUCUUCUAACUGCUACUUGCAGUGAAGUAAAAUGUGUUCCCACACAGUGACACUGUAUUUGGUGCCAUAAUGACCAUGAGUCAUGGAAGUUAAUAGUGCAUAUAGCACUCGAGCCCAUUGCAGUAUUUAAGAAGAGGUGGGCCAAAGCCAGUUCUGCUUCUUUUUGAUGCAAGGGUCUAUGGUAGAGGUCAGCACAGGGGAUGUAAAUAAACUGCAUUUUACACACACACACACAUAGACAUGAAUCCCUUUUCAUGUCUCUUAUUCUCAGGUACAGUAUGUGAAUGGCCAACACCAGGUCCAAAGAAUGAGGACAAAAAGCACUGUUAGAUGUUCAUGAUGUAUGCAUGUGUAUACAUAUAUUUAUCAUCAAGUGUUGUAAUAUUCUAUUUAGCGGUCUGUAGUUAUCUAAUAAGCUCGGAUGGAAAAGAUAGCAUAAUCAAAGUAUGGUAAAACACAAAUGACUUUUUCAGUGUCCUUCCUGCUCCGAGCAUGACAGAGUGUUUGAGCGAGAGAGGGUGAGAGUUAGAAGCCUCCUGCCCACAGAGAAGACUUGCUCCCUCUGCAUCUCUAAGCAGACUGUCAUCCCUGGUCACCAUCAGGUCUGUGGUCGCCCCAGUGAACAUUCAACGCUGUCGGUGAGUUUCGGCUAAAUUGAAAAAACCAUCGACCGUUGAUUGUGCCCUGUGGCCAGCCAUUUUCACUCGGUGUCUCCAAAAAAGAAGGAAAAAGAGGUAAAACCCAUGCAGAAACCUGCACACAGGCAUGACCAAUGACUUCUUGAAAAACCACAUGAAGAGCACAGCAUACAUCCUUGACAAACGAAAACGAAAAAUACUUUCAACUUCCAAACCCACAGCAAAGGUCACAAUCAACAUUCAUUGCUGUCGGUGGGUUUAACUGUGUAGAAGAGCUCGCUGAACAAUGAAUGCAACUGUGUCCCAGAUUUCAUCCGAACGUCACAAGGAAUAGCGUCACGAUAUGCUGAUGAUGGCAUUAUUUAUUCUUCUGCCUGUCUCCCCCCCUUCGCAUCUGCCCAAAAACAGGCACACACAGGCAGUGUGAAUCGACUAGCAGUUCAGAUUGCAUUUCAAUCACCCUUGCUGAGAUGUAGGGGCUCGAGUCUGGCUUCAGAAGAGGAGAAAGAAGAAUAUAGAUGCAAGGGAUAGUUCAAAGAAAGUUACCUUUGAAGCAUCUAUGGUCUGAUAAAAGAUGUAGUUUCUGUAAUGAUUACCAAACAAAUACACAGCAAAAAUAUGUUAUAUAUGAAUAGAUGCUUUCUAAAAUGAUGGGUGGCCUUUUUCAAACUAUUGUUCAAGAUAACACUAUCAGCUAAACCCCUCAGGUUUCAUCUAAAUAUACUAGUAAUAAUCAGUUUGGUUGAACAGAUACUUUAAACACUAUCAAAUGGUAAGUAAUUUUACCAUCAGCUGUUUAUUUAAUGUGAAAUAAAAUCUAAACUGCCUGCUAUUUGUAUUGUUGUAUUUGAUCAAAUAAAGUCACUAGUUCAGUCUUCAA
Molecule: long non-coding RNA, 4618 nt
Organism: Anarrhichthys ocellatus (wolf-eel)
Lineage: Eukaryota; Metazoa; Chordata; Actinopteri; Perciformes; Anarhichadidae
Exons: 4
Source: RefSeq, a predicted model, not a curated record